RNAcentral lists this ribosomal RNA (208 nucleotides) under uncultured bacterium. Its description in RNAcentral is "partial 16S ribosomal RNA". It matches the Rfam family "Bacterial small subunit ribosomal RNA", at positions 524 to 729 of the family's 1533-position model. The record is from RNAcentral.
GACAGAGGUCUCGAGCGUUAGGCGGAAUCACUGGGCUUAAAGCGUGUGUAGGCGGACUUGUAAGUACCUUGUGAAAUCCCACGGCUCAACCGUGGAACUGCUUGGUAUACUGCUUGUCUUGGGCCAGCUAGGGGUUACCGGAACAAACGGUGGAGCGGUGAAAUGCGUAGAUAUCGUUUGGAACGCCAAUGGUGAAAAACGAGGUGAA